This 497-nucleotide ribosomal RNA is filed under the name uncultured bacterium. Its description in RNAcentral is "partial 16S ribosomal RNA". It matches the Rfam family "Bacterial small subunit ribosomal RNA", at positions 28 to 507 of the family's 1533-position model. The record is from RNAcentral.
GAUGAACGCUGGCGGCGUGCCUAAUACAUGCCAGUCGAGCGAACAGACGAGGAGCUUGCUCCUCUGACGUUAGCGGCGGACGGGUGAGUAACACGUGGAUAACCUACCUAUAAGACUGGGAUAACUUCGGGAAACCGGAGCUAAUACCGGAUAAUAUAUUGAACCGCAUGGUUCAAUAGUGAAAGACGGUUUUGCUGUCACUUAUAGAUGGAUCCGCGCCUCAUUAGCUAGUUGGUAAGGUAACGGCUUACCAAGGCAACGAUGCGUAGCCGACCUGAGAGGGUGAUCGGCCACACUGGAACUGAGACACGGUCCAGACUCCUACGGGAGGCAGCAGUAGGGAAUCUUCCGCAAUGGGCGAAAGCCUGACGGAGCAACGCCGCGUGAGUGAUGAAGGUCUUCGGAUCGUAAAACUCUGUUAUUAGGGAAGAACAAAUGUGUAAGUAACUAUGCACGUCUUGACGGUACCUAAUCAGAAAGCCACGGCUAACUACGUG